GAAUCUUGAAAUAGGUAAGACCAGAAUGGCGAAGAUUUUGUUUCUCUUGCUUUUGGUCAAUAUUUUAGCAACAUGCUAUAUGCAGCUGAUUACUCCAAUGAUGGCGUGUAAAAUGGAGUGUCUUCGGGAUAAAAACGUCACAAGCGCUCUGUAUGACAGUGAAGAGGCCAAAGAAUGCAGACAAUAUUGUCUCCAUCAUGCCUACGAUUUCUUACACCAGCUUGGGUAAAAUUGCCAGAGACGAAGUUCAACUCUUUAAUAAAGCAUGAAAAUUAC
This is a long non-coding RNA of Saccostrea cuccullata (small rock oyster), 276 nucleotides long. RefSeq lists it as uncharacterized. The record is from RefSeq and is a predicted model, not a curated record. The transcript has 3 exons. Lineage: Eukaryota; Metazoa; Mollusca; Bivalvia; Ostreida; Ostreidae.